RNAcentral lists this long non-coding RNA (1261 nucleotides) under Homo sapiens (human). Its description in RNAcentral is "HSALNT0373392". The record is from RNAcentral. Lineage: Eukaryota; Metazoa; Chordata; Mammalia; Primates; Hominidae.
GCCUAAAGAAGCACUGCUCAUCAUCAUGGUGACUGUGAUGGAGGCCUGGGUGAGCAGUGGUGUAGACAGUUGCACAGAGGAGCCCAAAUGUUGCUCGAGACCCAAGAAAGCCCUGUGGGGUGAGGACAGCACCAGGCUCACCUGCCCACCUGGUCUCCAUCCAGGAGUCCAGAGACCCAGGACCAAACUGAUCCUGUCUUUAUGUUCAAUGUGGAGAUCUUGUUCAGCAAACCAUUCCAAGCAGAAUCUGCAAGACACAAUCAAACUGAAAGCAAGACUGGACUUCUGGCUUUGGAUCCCUGGUUUCAGACCCUGUCUGACAUUGCAUCGGGCGGACAUCCAAGCUUCAGUUUCCUUCUGUGUUAAAUGAGGAUAAGAAGAAAUCCACCUCCUGGGCUCACUGUGAGGGUUCAACGGGGUAAUCGUGUCAGUAGCUGAGAAGCAUGAAUAUUUGAUCUAUGUCAGCCAUUAUUACUGUUUUCCAAAUCUUGGUUCCUCCACUAGUGACUUUACCUCUUGGAAUUUUAAUCUCCUUUUCUGUAAAAUGGAGAAAUAAUAGGACUAUCUCUUAAGGUUGCUGUAAAGAUUAAAUGAGUUACUGUACAUGAAGUACCUAAAACAAUGUGUACAUGUGCUGUUAACUGUUACUAUUACAACAAUCACUACAACUACUACUGUUGUUCAUACUAUUAAUAGCUUAUUCUCCCUCCUCCUCCUCCUGCUGUAACUACUACUGCCACUGUGGCUGCUAUUGUUGCCCUGGUAGUUAGGUAGUUAAUACAAUUGCAAUGAGAGCUAAAAAUGGCAACUCCCUCCCCUGUGUGAGAGAUCCUUAGCCUAUGUUUAAACAUUCAAUUUGGUUUGCUAUAUGCUAUGCUUUUUAAAAUGUUUUAAGCUAUUCAAACAUUUUUAUUUUCUACAUAUAAUGCCAAAUAACCUGUUGAACUGAUUGCCCAUUUUUUUAGCUGAGUUGUUUGGAUAUGUUGUAGACAGAACCCGAGACAACAGAAGAGUUAGUGAACUUCAAUUGUUUAUAAAGGAGCGGCAUAAAAAUAAUCUUUAAAGCUAAGGGAAUGUUAAUAUUUAGAUCCAUCUAAGGGAAAAUAAUAACAGUUUGUGAUUUCCUCCUGCCUCACUUCCAGGGCAAACAUUUUUAAGGGAGGAUUUGAUUUUGUAACAUAAAUUGUUUUCUAUAUAACCCCAAAGACAUGAGUGAUUAAUAGUGAGCUAUAGAAAGAGAUGCCCAUAAUUAGCAGCUUGG